Molecule: ribosomal RNA, 531 nt
Filed under: Rossiteria nucleus
Lineage: Eukaryota; Metazoa; Mollusca; Gastropoda; Trochida; Trochidae
Description: partial 16S rRNA
Rfam family: Bacterial large subunit ribosomal RNA
Source: RNAcentral
GUCUCCUCGAAAGUAGAUUUUAUGGGGAGUCAGACCUGCCCAGUGACAUAUUUGUUAAACGGCCGCGGUACCCUAACCGUGCAAAGGUAGCAUAAUCAUUUGCCUUUUAAAUGGAGGCUUGUAUGAAUGGUUUGACGAGAGCCCAGCUGUCUCUUUUAAAAUAUUUAGAAAUUAACUUUUAGGUGAAGAGGCCUAAAUUUAGUUGAGGGACAAGAAGACCCUGUUGAGCUUUAGUAUUAUUGAGUUUUAUUUAUUAUUUUUCAUUUAUGAAAUUUUUUGGCUUAAUGAUUCUUUAGUUGGGGCGACUGAGGAACAUGAAAAGCUUCCUUGAAAUGUUGCAUUAGUUUUAUUUAUUUAAAUUAUAGUGAUCCGAUUUUUGUCGAUUAAGAGAAAAAGUUACCACAGGGAUAACAGCGUAAUCUUUCUGGAGAGAUCAAAUCGAAAGAAGGGUUUGCGACCUCGAUGUUGGACUAAGGUAUCCUAAGGGUGUAGCAGCUCUUAAGGGUUGGUCUGUUCGACCAUUAAAACCUU